GCCUUAGCCUGGCUAUCACUAUAAAAUGGCCCCUCUGAGGGGCCUCCUUCCUCUCAGCUAUUGGAGGAAGGAGAGUAUUUGGAGCAUUUCCGGCCCUUCUUGGACGGCUGCCUGAACCCUGCAGCCAAGACACAUUUGACUGGGACUCCCCCAUGGAGAGAAGUCCUCCCAGGUCCUCUGCAAGGGGCAUCUGUUCCUUGGCUAUGGACAUGCCCUAAAGUGCCAGGUGGACGGAAGAGCUCCUGGGACCAGCAGGUUGGGAGCAUCAAUUCACGUUGGCUAGAAAUGUGACUUCUUUAGUAUUUACCAUUUUAACAAAAUCCAUGAUAAGGGAUUUGGAAGGUCCCAUGGAGAGGAUGAAAUGACACCUCUCUGCUACCCAGUUUCUUACAGACCUCUACGGUUGAGAAGAGAGGACAAAGGAACACCCCCACCUCUGCCAUCCUCCGAGGGAUUUUUCACAGCAAUUCCAGUGCUGCUCAGUGGAAAGCUCUGCAAGUCAACUGCAAACCCCCAGCCCCAGAUGUUAGGCAUUUACAAACUUUGUUGCUGAUUUAUCAGCGCUCCUCUGCAAUUUUGGGGGCAGGAGCAAACACAAGCUUAAGUCACCACGCAGGCUCCAACCCUUACCCAAAGAUGGGGGAAAAACUCCAAAGGAGAUGCAGGAGGGAGCCUCGGCAGUCACUGUGAGAGCACAAAGAGGCCAAGACCCAGGGUAGGCAAAGGAAGGUGAGAGGCACCAGCAGGGCAGGAGGAGGAGCCAGCUAUAAACAUGCAGGCUUCCCGCCCCCUGCAUAGCAAGCUAUGGAAGGAAGCUCCAGCAAGAUUCAUGUCUAAGCUUUUCAAGUUAAAGGCUUGGCUACAUCUACAGUGAACGGUGUCUGAACAACUUCUUGAGGGAAUAAGGCAGAAUUUCUCCCUUAUGCGGAUAACAAAAGAGCUAGCCAUCCUGAAAACUUGCCACAUCGUAAUUUUCAGGGAUGGUCAGUCUCUCAGAAGAAUCCCUGCGAUUAGCUAUCAGAACCUGUCCAGUUCAGCAUGUGAGAAGGUAAUCCAAGGCAUCAUCGAGAGGAAGGGGCAUCAGGAUUCAUGGACAACAAAAAAAUCUCUGAUUCCUCCAAAAGGCGUGUGGGUCACUGAGCUCCGGAAGAGGCUGCCUCCACCAGGUCUCAUUUCACGUUGGGAGGUUACAGCGUGGGUCUUGUUUCCUUGGCUUUUCCCCAUCUAAUCCCAAAGCCAAGGUCACAACCUCUUAGCAAUGGGGUGACAAUCUCAUAUAGAGCUGCAAUAAACAGCCAUUCCUGCCAAGCUGA
Long non-coding RNA from Pan troglodytes (chimpanzee), 1313 nucleotides. RefSeq lists it as uncharacterized. Lineage: Eukaryota; Metazoa; Chordata; Mammalia; Primates; Hominidae. The transcript is spliced from 2 exons. The record is from RefSeq and is a predicted model, not a curated record.